UUUGAUCCUGGCUCAGAUUGAACGCUGGCGGCAGGCCUAACACGUGCAAGUCGAGCGGCAGCACGGGAAGCUUGCUUCCUGGUGGCGAGCGGCGGACGGGUGAGUAAUGCAUAGGAAUCUGCCCGGUAGUGGGGGAUAACCUGGGGAAACCCAGGCUAAUACCGCAUACGUCCUACGGGAGAAAGCAGGGGCUCUUCGGACCUUGCGCUAUCGGAUGAGCCUAUGUCGGAUUAGCUGGUUGGUGAGGUAAUGGCUCACCAAGGCGACGAUCCGUAGCUGGUCUGAGAGGAUGAUCAGCCACAUCGGGACUGAGACACGGCCCGAACUCCUACGGGAGGCAGCAGUGGGGAAUAUUGGACAAUGGGCGCAAGCCUGAUCCAGCCAUGCCGCGUGUGUGAAGAAGGCCCUCGGGUUGUAAAGCACUUUCAGUGGGGAAGAAAGCCUUCCGGUUAAUACCCGUCAGGAAGGACAUCACCCACAGAAGAAGCACCGGCUAACUCCGUGCCAGCAGCCGCGGUAAUACGGAGGGUGCGAGCGUUAAUCGGAAUUACUGGGCGUAAAGCGCGCGUAGGUGGCUUGAUAAGCCGGUUGUGAAAGCCCCGGGCUCAACCUGGGAACGGCAUCCGGAACUGUCAGGCUAGAGUGCAGGAGAGGAAGGUAGAAUUCCCGGUGUAGCGGUGAAAUGCGUAGAGAUCGGGAGGAAUACCAGUGGCGAAGGCGGCCUUCUGGACUGACACUGACACUGAGGUGCGAAAGCGUGGGUAGCAAACAGGAUUAGAUACCCUGGUAGUCCACGCCGUAAACGAUGUCGACUAGCCGUUGGGUCCUUCGCGGACUUUGUGGCGCAGUUAACGCGAUAAGUCGACCGCCUGGGGAGUACG
Molecule: ribosomal RNA, 881 nt
Filed under: uncultured Halomonas sp.
Lineage: Bacteria; Pseudomonadati; Pseudomonadota; Gammaproteobacteria; Oceanospirillales; Halomonadaceae
Description: bacterial SSU rRNA
Rfam family: Bacterial small subunit ribosomal RNA
Source: RNAcentral